GUGCCAGCAGCCGCGGUAAUACGGAGGGUGCGAGCGUUAAUCGGAACUACUGGGCGUAAAGGGCGCGUAGGCGGUCGCGCAAGUCGGGUGUGAAAGCCCCGGGCUCAACCUGGGAAUUGCAUUCGAUACUGCGUAACUAGAGUCUGGUAGAGGGAAGCGGAAUUCCGCAUGUAGCGGUGAAAUGCGUAGAUAUGCGGAGGAACACCAGUGGCGAAGGCGGCUUCCUGGACCAAGACUGACGCUGAGGCGCGAAAGCGUGGGGAGCAAACAGGAUUAGAUACCCUGGUAGUCCACGCCCUAAACGAUGAGGACUAGACGUUGGGGGGAUAAAACCCUUUAGUGUCGCAGCUAACGCGUGAAGUCCUCCGCCUGGGGAGUACGGCCGCAAGGUUGAAACUUAAAGGAAUUGGCGG
RNAcentral lists this ribosomal RNA (413 nucleotides) under uncultured bacterium. Its description in RNAcentral is "bacterial SSU rRNA". It matches the Rfam family "Bacterial small subunit ribosomal RNA", at positions 505 to 916 of the family's 1533-position model. The record is from RNAcentral.